Molecule: small RNA, 505 nt
Filed under: Pongo abelii (Sumatran orangutan)
Lineage: Eukaryota; Metazoa; Chordata; Mammalia; Primates; Hominidae
Description: retained intron
Source: RNAcentral
GGUGUGGGCCGAAGAUAUGCUCAUGUGGUGUUGAGGAAAGCAGACAUUGACCUCACCAAGAGGGCGGGAGAACUCACUGAGGAUGAGGUGGAACGUGUGAUCACCAUUAUGCAGAAUCCACGCCAGUACAAGAUCCCAGACUGGUUCUUGAACAGACAGAAGGAUGUAAAGGAUGGAAAAUACAGCCAGGUGUGUACUGAAAUGAGGGCAGGAUUAGAGGAAGGGUGGAGGGUCCUAACAGAAUUGGGCAUAGGAGGUGAGGGGAUAAAACAUCCCUUGCCCUCUCCUCUGAAUCCAGGUCCUAGCCAAUGGUCUGGACAACAAGCUGCGUGAAGACCUGGAGCGACUGAAGAAGAUUCGGGCCCACAGAGGGCUGCGUCACUUCUGGGGCCUUCGUGUCCGAGGCCAGCACACCAAGACCACUGGCCGCCGUGGCCGCACCGUGGGUGUGUCCAAGAAGAAAUAAGUCUGUAGGCCUUGUCUGUUAAUAAAUAGUUUAUAUACC